RNAcentral lists this ribosomal RNA (253 nucleotides) under uncultured bacterium. RNAcentral's name for it is "partial 16S ribosomal RNA". It matches the Rfam family "Bacterial small subunit ribosomal RNA", at positions 524 to 776 of the family's 1533-position model. The record is from RNAcentral.
UACGUAGGAUGCAAGCGUUGUCCGGACUUACUGGGCGUAAAGCGCGCGCAGGCGGCACCUCAAGUAUUCAGUGAAAUCUCCCUGCUCAACGGGGAGGGUGCUGAGUAGACUGAGGAGCUGGAGGACGGUAGAGGGGGGUAGAAUUGCUGGUGUAGCGGUGAAAUGCGUAGAGAUCAGCAGGAAUACCCGUGGCGAAGGCGGCCCCCUGGGCCGUUUCUGACGCUGAGGCGCGAAGGCUAGGGGAGCGAACGGG